UACGGAGGGUGCGAGCGUUAAUCGGAAUUACUGGGCGUAAAGGGUGCGUAGGUGGUUUGAUAAGUUAUCUGUGAAAGCCCUGGGCUCAACCUGGGAAGGCCAGAUAAGACUGUUGAACUCGAGUAUGGGAGAGGGUAGUGGAAUUUCCGGUGUAGCGGUGAAAUGCGUAGAGAUCGGAAGGAACACCAGUGGCGAAGGCGGCUACCUGGCCUGAUACUGACACUGAAGCACGAAAGCGUGGGGAGCAAACAGG
RNAcentral lists this ribosomal RNA (253 nucleotides) under uncultured Legionella sp. RNAcentral describes it as "partial 16S ribosomal RNA". It matches the Rfam family "Bacterial small subunit ribosomal RNA", at positions 524 to 776 of the family's 1533-position model. The record is from RNAcentral. Lineage: Bacteria; Pseudomonadati; Pseudomonadota; Gammaproteobacteria; Legionellales; Legionellaceae.